This 446-nucleotide long non-coding RNA is filed under the name Cicer arietinum (chickpea). RNAcentral describes it as "long non-coding RNA (CARI_LNC000549)". The record is from RNAcentral. Lineage: Eukaryota; Viridiplantae; Streptophyta; Magnoliopsida; Fabales; Fabaceae.
CCAAAGCCAAAGCUAAGAUUGAUUGUGUGAUAGGGAGAGGUAUUUGAUAAACCUUUAUCACGAAAAGUCUUGCCGGUCUAGCCUCCCCAUGUGAUGAUCAUCCAAUGUAAAGUAUAGUUGUUGUCAACAAUUAAGAAGUGAAAGCAUGCAAACAUGCAAUCAAUCGACAUAAAAUUCGAUGUGUUUCAAUCUAAGCACGUAAGAUGUAACCCGGUUUAAAUUGUAGUAAUAAAUAAAUAAACAUGUGUACACUCAAUAAUUGAAUUUGGAACUAACCUUGCACAUUGCCUUAAUCAAUUGUGAGGAAAAUCAUAAUUUACAAGUUACAACCAUGACUUCCAAUUCACAAUGCUGAGAAAGCAUAUUUUCCUCAAAUGCAGUUCUCCGAUACAAAUUAUAAAAGCUCCAAAUUGACUUAGUUGCGGAAGCUACAGUUUUUGCUAGUU